GUUCCCUACGGGAGGCAGCAGUCGGGGAUAUUGCGCAAUGGAGGAAACUCUGACGCGGUGACGCCGUGUAUAGGAAGAAGGUUUUCGGAUUGUAAACUAUUGUCGUUAGGGAAGAUACAAGACAGUACCUAAGGAGGAAGCCCCGGCUAACUAUGUGCCAGCAGCCGCGGUAAUACAUAGGGGGCAAGCGUUAUCCGGAUUUAUUGGGUGUAAAGGGUGCGUAGACGGAGAAACAAGUUGGUUGUGAAAUCCCUCGGCUCAACUGAGGAACGGCAACCAAAACUAUUUCCCUUGAGGGUCGGAGG
Molecule: ribosomal RNA, 305 nt
Filed under: uncultured bacterium
Lineage: Bacteria
Description: bacterial SSU rRNA
Rfam family: Bacterial small subunit ribosomal RNA
Source: RNAcentral